RNAcentral lists this unclassified non-coding RNA (332 nucleotides) under soil metagenome. RNAcentral describes it as "partial contains 5.8S ribosomal RNA, internal transcribed spacer 2, and large subunit ribosomal RNA". The stretch from base 1 to 120 matches the Rfam family "5.8S ribosomal RNA", at positions 35 to 154 of the family's 154-position model. The record is from RNAcentral.
GAUGAAGAACGCAGCGAAAUGCGAUAAGUAGUGUGAAUUGCAGAAUUCAGUGAAUCAUCGAAUCUUUGAACGCACAUUGCGCCCUUUGGUAUUCCUCAGGGCAUGCCUGUUCGAGCGUCAUUUAAACCUUCAAGCUAAGCUUGGUGUUGGGUGACUGUCCGCUUCACGGCGGACUCGCCUCAAAAUUAUUGGCGGCCGGUACAUUGGCUUCGAGCGCAGCAGAAACGCGAACUCGGGCCCGUCGUAUUGGCUCCCAGAAGCUAUCUUCACAAUUUUGACCUCGGAUCAGGUAGGGAUACCCGCUGAACUUAAGCAUAUCAAUAAGCGGAGGA